GAUGACGAUUGCCUACAAAACAUUUUGAAUUUUCACUCAUAUAAACGAAAUAAUUUAUUGCCCUCACUUAAAAAGCAAUUUGUGAAAAGGUAUUAAAUCUUCGGCACGCGGAAAAUAAAACAUUUCGAUAUACUCGCAUUUUUGGCCACCGGAAGUGGCAGCGAAAGAGAUUAAAAAGAUUGCCCAACAAAUUUUGGUAGAAACCCAAGACGCAUCUCUAGGAAAUAAAGUGUCAACGAGUUCAACGAUUUAUUAUUGUUUAUGCUCGCAUGCGGAAACCGUCUGCAAUUUAUAUCAAUUCAAAUACUAUAACAUAAUUGACAAUGAAGAAGAGUUAAGGAGGGGGUUCACAGAGAGAGAGAGAGAGAGAGAGAGAGAGAGCGUGGGUUGACUGACUGUCUGCAAAAAGCUAUGCGCAAGGUGCAAAUUCAAUAGAAAUCUAAUCUGUGCAGAAAAAGGGUUGCAAAAUGAUUUUAAUUGGCGUGACUUACACAGAAAAUAAUGAAGAGAGAACUCAUUAAGUUGAAAGUUCAUCAUAGUUGAAUGCGAAAUUUGAUAUUGAGUUUUAAAGAGUUUGCAGUUCUGUGGUAAUUAGGACUUGUUGAACCACCCUCGCUCUCUCCCCCCUACUCCCCUACUCGCUUUGUUGCCUGCUAUCAAUGGCUGCGAAAAGCAAAUGAAACCAAAGCCAUGACCAGAGGAAGCAUACACACAACGCACAAAUAGCUGGGGUUAGGAUGCAGAGCAGAGAAUAAACAAGUGAAGUGAUGUAGGGAACACAAGAGGGGAGAAGGAGAUGGAGACAACCCGAUAACGGACUGAACUAAGCCUGAUAUCAUUUAUCAUACUAAUGCCCGCACAAUUGAAUCCGCAGAGUGAAUAAGAGAACGAGAGAACGAAAACGAAAACGAGAGCUGCUCUUUCGAUGCUUCUUGACACGCAUCAACAAUUCAGUGCCUCGCAUGUAAAUGCGAAUGCGAAUGUGAAUAUAUAUGUAUAUAUAUAUGUACAUAUAUGUAUGUAUGUGAUGGCUGAGAACAAAACCUGUCAAAUGCUUUGCGCUUUGCCUGAUAUUUAAUAUAAAUUUAUAUUGACAAUGUUGUUGUUCUUUCCACAAAGCUGUUGCUGCAGAUGUGCCCCUCUAGCUUACCCCCUCCUCUAACUUUGCCAUUCUUUUGUCCAAAUUCCAAUUCCAAUUGAAACUAGUUUACGACGGACAAACGCUGAGCAAACAGAGAGAGAGAGAGAGAGAGAAUUGAAUAACUGACAGGCGAUUUGUUUAUGCAAAUAUAUAUUUUUGUGCAAUACCAUAGAGGGUGUGCGUGUUGUUUGUUGUGCUUGACUUUGGAAUGCUGCGCGAUAGCAGCAACGUCAUUAUCAAUGCCGAGAUGGUAAACAACAACAACAACGAAAACAACAACAAGAACGAUUGCUGUGCGCAAUUUUCGCAUGGAAAUUUCGUCAUGACGAAUUCGAGUCGCGCUGCCCGCUUUAAUCUCUUGAUUUUCCGCCAAUUAUUCAUCAUCAUCGAAAUGGCGACGACUCAUCAAACACACACACACACACACACACACAAUAUAAUUGGCAGUUUUUCCCUCAAUGGCUUUUCCAAUUAAAUGAUCCACUUGAUCGGCUGCUGUCGCUGUCGCUGUGUGUAGAUUGUGCGCCACAUACAGCUGCUCAGCUGAUAACGAACUGAAAACACAGCUGGCAUUGAAGUGCGUGAUAACAGCUACAAGCAAUAAUAUAUUAAAUGUGCACUGCACCAGAGUAAUUAACAAAAACCAAAAGGAAAAAUUCUAAAUGAUAAGCCAU
Molecule: long non-coding RNA, 1815 nt
Organism: Drosophila sulfurigaster albostrigata
Lineage: Eukaryota; Metazoa; Arthropoda; Insecta; Diptera; Drosophilidae
Exons: 3
Source: RefSeq, a predicted model, not a curated record